Arabidopsis thaliana (thale cress) is the source of this 310-nucleotide RNA transcript. RefSeq lists it as uncharacterized. The record is from RefSeq. The transcript has a single exon. Lineage: Eukaryota; Viridiplantae; Streptophyta; Magnoliopsida; Brassicales; Brassicaceae.
GGAAAUGGAAAAUAAAAACAAGAAUGUAUGGCUAGCCAACAUUGAUCAGAUGGUUGGUCGGUCCAUUGAUAAUAUGAAGUUAUCUCUUGUCACUUUCAGAGAAUGGUUUUUCUCUUCUCUAGGGAGUAUGGGUCUAAUAUGACUACUACUAUGCGUCUAUGCGCCUAUGACUAUGAGUCUAUGAGUAAGGGACUUUUGCUUAAGUAUCACCAACCAAAGACUAGAUGAAUAAAUUCUGCAGAUAAUUCUUAUUACUCAUCUCUCUAGCUGCUAUAAGUGAGAUCUAUACUAAAAUUGUAUAUCUACAUAU